GACGAACGCUGGCGGCGUGCUUAACACAUGCAAGUCGAACGGAAAGGCCCUGCUUUUGUGGGGUGCUCGAGUGGCGAACGGGUGAGUAACACGUGAGUAACCUGCCCUUGACUUUGGGAUAACUUCAGGAAACUGGGGCUAAUACCGGAUAGGAGCUCCUGCUGCAUGGUGGGGGUUGGAAAGUUUCGGCGGUUGGGGAUGGACUCGCGGCUUAUGAGCUUGUUGGUGGGGUAGUGGCUUACCAAGGCUUUGACGGGUAGCCGGCCGGAGAGGGUGACCGGCGACACUGGAAGUUAGACACGGUCAAGACGACUACGGGAGGCAGCAGUCGGGAAUAUGAGACAAUGGGCGCAAGUCUGAUCCAGUGAGACCGAGUGGGAGAAGAAGGCGUUCGGGGUGUAAAGCCGUUCUGUGGGGAAAGAAAAGCAGCAGCUUGAGACCACGCUGUUCUGACGGUACCGAAUGAAUAAGCACCGGCUAACUUCGUG
This 488-nucleotide ribosomal RNA is filed under the name uncultured bacterium. Its description in RNAcentral is "partial 16S ribosomal RNA". It matches the Rfam family "Bacterial small subunit ribosomal RNA", at positions 28 to 507 of the family's 1533-position model. The record is from RNAcentral.